UACAGGGGGGGCAAGCGUUGUUCGGAGUUACUGGGCGUAAAGGGUGUGUAGGCGGUUGCUUAAGGUUGGUGUGAAAUCUCCCGGCUCAACUGGGAGGGUGCGCCGAAUACUGAGUGACUCGAGUGCGGGAGAGGAGAGUGGAAUUCCUGGUGUAGCGGUGAAAUGCGUAGAUAUCAGGAGGAACACCGGUGGUGUAGACGGCUCUCUGGACCGUAACUGACGCUGAGACACGAAAGCGUGGGUAGCAAACAGG
Molecule: ribosomal RNA, 253 nt
Filed under: uncultured bacterium
Lineage: Bacteria
Description: partial 16S ribosomal RNA
Rfam family: Bacterial small subunit ribosomal RNA
Source: RNAcentral